This 253-nucleotide ribosomal RNA is filed under the name uncultured bacterium. Its description in RNAcentral is "partial 16S ribosomal RNA". It matches the Rfam family "Bacterial small subunit ribosomal RNA", at positions 524 to 776 of the family's 1533-position model. The record is from RNAcentral.
UACGAGUGCUCCAAGCGUUAUCCGGAAUUAUUGGGCGUAAAGGGCGUGUAGGCGGUUUGCUAAGUCAUGUGUGAAAUCCCCCGGCUUAACCGAGGAACGACGCAUGAUACUGGCAAGCUAGAGUACCAAAGAGGGGGGUGGAAUUCCCGGUGUAGCGGUGAAAUGCGUAGAUAUCUGGAGGAAUACCGGUGGCGAAGGCGGCAUCCUGGACCGGCAUUGACGCUGAGGAGCGAAAGCCAGGGGAGCAAACGGG